This 72-nucleotide transfer RNA is filed under the name Loxodonta africana (African savanna elephant). It matches the Rfam family "tRNA". Rfam says of the family: Transfer RNA (tRNA) molecules are approximately 80 nucleotides in length. Their secondary structure includes four short double-helical elements and three loops (D, anti-codon, and T loops). Further hydrogen bonds mediate the characteristic L-shaped molecular structure. tRNAs have two regions of fundamental functional importance: the anti-codon, which is responsible for specific mRNA codon recognition, and the 3' end, to which the tRNAs corresponding amino acid is attached (by aminoacyl-tRNA synthetases). tRNAs cope with the degeneracy of the genetic code in two manners: having more than one tRNA (with a specific anti-codon) for a particular amino acid; and 'wobble' base-pairing, i.e. permitting non-standard base-pairing at the 3rd anti-codon position. Lineage: Eukaryota; Metazoa; Chordata; Mammalia; Proboscidea; Elephantidae. The record is from Rfam by way of RNAcentral.
GCAGUGUUGGCUCAGUGGUAGAAUUCUUGCCUUCUAUGCUGGCGAUGUGGGUUCGAUUCCCAGCAUAAUGCA